CAGCCGCCGCGGUAAUACGUAGGGUGCGAGCGUUAAUCGGAAUUACUGGGCGUAAAGCGCGCGCAGGUGGUUUAAUAAGUCUGAUGUGAAAGCCCACGGCUCAACCGUGGAGGGUCAUUGGAAACUGUUAAACUUGAGUGCAGGAGAGAAAAGUGGAAUUCCUAGUGUAGCGGUGAAAUGCGUAGAGAUUAGGAGGAACACCAGUGGCGAAGGCGGCUUUUUGGCCUGUAACUGACACUGAGGCGCGAAAGCGUGGGGAGCAAACAGGAUUAGAUACCCCCGUAGUCCCUGUCUCUUAUAC
RNAcentral lists this ribosomal RNA (301 nucleotides) under uncultured bacterium. RNAcentral's name for it is "partial 16S ribosomal RNA". It matches the Rfam family "Bacterial small subunit ribosomal RNA", at positions 509 to 807 of the family's 1533-position model. The record is from RNAcentral.